AUUGAACGCUGGCGGCAGGCCUAACACAUGCAAGUCGAGCGGAUGAAGGGAGCUUGCUCCUGGAUUCAGCGGCGGACGGGUGAGUAAUGCCUAGGAAUCUGCCUGGUAGUGGGGGAUAACGUCCGGAAACGGGCGCUAAUACCGCAUACGUCCUGAGGGAGAAAGUGGGGGAUCUUCGGACCUCACGCUAUCAGAUGAACCUAGGUCGGAUUAGCUAGUUGGUGGGGUAAGGGCCUACCAAGCCAAGGGUCGGUAACUGGUCUGAGUGGUUGAUCGGUCACACUGAAACUGAGACACGGUCCAGCCCCCUAGGGGAGGCCGCAGGGGGAAUAUUGGACAAUGGGCGAAAGCCUGAUCCAGCCAUGCCGCGUGUGUGAAGAAGGUCUUCGGAUUGUAAAGCACUUUAAGUUGGGAGGAAGGGCAGUAAGUUAAUACCUUGCUGUUUUGACGUUACCAACAGAAUAAGCACCGGCUAACUUCGUG
This 483-nucleotide ribosomal RNA is filed under the name uncultured bacterium. RNAcentral's name for it is "partial 16S ribosomal RNA". It matches the Rfam family "Bacterial small subunit ribosomal RNA", at positions 30 to 507 of the family's 1533-position model. The record is from RNAcentral.